This 214-nucleotide unclassified non-coding RNA is filed under the name Hevea brasiliensis (rubber tree). Lineage: Eukaryota; Viridiplantae; Streptophyta; Magnoliopsida; Malpighiales; Euphorbiaceae. The record is from RNAcentral.
CUCUGAUACCACUCAUAGUAAGGAGGAUAAAAAAUUCCUUCAACAUCAGAUUUUCCUUGGGCAGGAAAUGGGCCAUCAAGGAAAUGAAGGUCGAGCUUUUGAAGCACAGUUUCAGGCCAUCUAGCUAUCAAUUUUUGCAGGAUUGAAGCACUGGUCCUGAAGCCAUGGAGGCACAGAAUUCUGGGUUUGUAUUGGAUUUCGUUUUGCAUCACUA